GGUCUUGUAGUACAAUGGAUAGUAUAUGAGUUUCCGAAGCUCCGGAUCCAGGUUCGAUUCCUGGCAAGACCACCA
Molecule: transfer RNA, 75 nt
Filed under: Taibaiella sp.
Lineage: Bacteria; Pseudomonadati; Bacteroidota; Chitinophagia; Chitinophagales; Chitinophagaceae
Description: tRNA-Arg
Rfam family: tRNA
About the family: Transfer RNA (tRNA) molecules are approximately 80 nucleotides in length. Their secondary structure includes four short double-helical elements and three loops (D, anti-codon, and T loops). Further hydrogen bonds mediate the characteristic L-shaped molecular structure. tRNAs have two regions of fundamental functional importance: the anti-codon, which is responsible for specific mRNA codon recognition, and the 3' end, to which the tRNAs corresponding amino acid is attached (by aminoacyl-tRNA synthetases). tRNAs cope with the degeneracy of the genetic code in two manners: having more than one tRNA (with a specific anti-codon) for a particular amino acid; and 'wobble' base-pairing, i.e. permitting non-standard base-pairing at the 3rd anti-codon position.
Source: RNAcentral